Molecule: long non-coding RNA, 374 nt
Filed under: Carica papaya (papaya)
Lineage: Eukaryota; Viridiplantae; Streptophyta; Magnoliopsida; Brassicales; Caricaceae
Description: long non-coding RNA (CPAP_LNC008186)
Source: RNAcentral
GCUUAUAAUUUGUCUUAUACAUCCAUUUGACUCUAAUUGGCUUCUUCCCUUUCGACAGAGCAGUUAAUUCCUAUGUAUUAUUGUUUUUAAUGGCAAAAAUUUCUCCAUCCAUCGCUUUAAUCCACCAAUCAUCAUUAAAUAUUUCUUCAAACACUACUAGAUGAUAAUCUAGAAAGAAAACAUAAUAAACAACAUCUUCAUCAUCAUUAAGAUCAUCAUUAACUUCAUAAUCCUUUAAAUAAAUAAGUGGAUGACGAUCCCAUUAUGAGUGCUUAAAUAUAGGAGAAGAUGAAGCUUUUGGAACAACACCAGAUGAUUCUUCAGAAACUAAAGGAGAAGAUUGCUCAUCAAUGUGAAUACUGUUUAUAUUUCAU